RNAcentral lists this long non-coding RNA (385 nucleotides) under Oryza brachyantha (malo sina). Its description in RNAcentral is "long non-coding RNA (OBRA_LNC001877)". The record is from RNAcentral. Lineage: Eukaryota; Viridiplantae; Streptophyta; Magnoliopsida; Poales; Poaceae.
GGACAUAGAGCGACACACGCGCUCGCUCGCCUCGUCUGGCACAGGCCGGGCGCGCACGACAUGCACGUCUUCUUUCUAAUUAAAAAAAGAAAGGGGGGGCGGUAAGGCGCCUAUGGUUUGACAGGCUCGCAACUUACAAAGGGCACUCGCUGCUCGCAGGCCUGCUCUUUCUAUUAUGAUUUCUAUGUCUAUGAAAGCUCCUUUGACUCCAGCCCCAUAAGCUAUUCUUUCACCAGCACCUGCACCUACGAGACGACUAUUGCUAUUAUUUUUCAUUGCCAUUCUUCUUCCUACUUCGAGGGGAUCUGUAAAGAGAAGAAAUGGACAAAAAAAUGAGCUAAAGCCAAGCGAACAAUUAAACAACUCGAGUGAAAAAGCCAGGAAA